GUUGCUGUCAGUAACCUGUUACCUGGAAGGGAGUGAUAACAGAGCUAUGGAACCAAGAUGAUGAAGGCAUGCUGAAAGGGGGAGAGGGAGAGAAGGUUGUGACAACACAGCCAAUUCCAAAGUAAAGAACAGACUGUGAGUUCAGAGUCCUGAAUGCAGAACCACCCAGGGGUUUGUGGUGAUCUUGUAGGGCCCAUCUCUGAAGCUGGAACAUUCCAGUUCUGAUAUUGUGCUGUAACUAAUGCAUCUGUCCACAGUUUGUGACACCUCUUAUUGCAGGUCCCGGAAAGGAAUAAAAACCAUUGUUACAAAGAUGUCUCCUGCUUCCUUUACACUCUUCCCUCCCCCAAAGGAUUCUUAGAGUAACAUAAGACUAACACAAGAGGUGUUACUCAGAAAGUCCCAGAUGAGUAAACCAUGAUCUUUGUUGUGAAAUUAACUCUUUCAUUCCAUUAAGUACUAUGUUGCCAUUUAAUUAUUUCAGAGUAUUGAAAAUUUAAAAAUUCUAUACAGAUUUAUUAAAAUCCUUACCCUGCCUUGUCGUUGGGAGCACUCCACACAACUGACCUGGAUGUUUCCAUGUUUAGCACCGGGAAUAAUUUGCACACAUUCAAAGUCAUUUGCCAGAAUAACAAUGUCACAACCAGAGCCAUAUGCCUGAAAAAAUUUUUAAAAGAAAAAAAUUGAAAUGUUUAUUUUAAAAACGAACUGAACGCUUCUUACACCGCUGAUGUUUGGGAAGCUGUGACUACCCCAGUUAAACAAGAAGCUACAAAGCAGCGGGUUUGUUCCUCACUAAUUCAAUGAGCAAAAAGCAGAAACACAGUUGUGAAGGAGACCAUAACGCCACUGGGGUUUAAACCACGGCAAACAGAAACAGUACAAAACCCAACCAACCCCCCACACUUAAAUCUAGAACUUGAGCUCUGUAUUUACUUUUUCUUUUGUUUAUUUUAGAUUUUAGUUGGUUUUUUUUUUCUCCCCUCCAAUUCUGGUUGCCUCUUAGAGCAAGGCAGCCAAGCCAGGAGCAUUUAUUAAUGAAUUUCCAUGUACGUUUCUUAAAUAAGUGUGUGUUCUGCCUCCCUGCCUGCCUUUUUUAUUAUUCUUAAUUUUUAAAAAGAUUGUUAAAUUAUUCUCUUCUAUAAGAAUGCAAUUGCUGGGCUUUUCUGAGUUUUAAGAAGUGCACAUUACUGUAAGACCGUAAACGAAAGAUUUCUCUUGGAUAUACUGUUGUGCAAUACACACUAUAUCCUAAAGAAUUUGUUUAUGAAAUAGCUAUAGAACAGUGAUAGCUUGCAGCACUUUUUACUGGCAGGAUAAAUAUACACCUGUCUGCCAACCUUUCACCUGUUCUAAACAGUUUAAUCACUCCAGAUUAUCUGUCCCACUGAGCUCCCACAUUCAGGUGUGGAAAUCUCUCCCUAGGAUCAAUCUACCACUAAGCCUUUUACAGUAACCAGUUAGAGCUGGAAGUCUCUUUCCUUAAAGUAAGUUUUCCUUUGAUUACAAUACAGUAGGCAGAAAUUUUGUAACAGCUGAGUUAAGCAGAGAGUGCAAGUCCUCCACAUGGUACAAAAUUACUUAUCAUUUUAACUUGUCCACUGGAUUUUUCACAAGAAUUUCCAAAAUACUGAGUCAGUCCUUGCUCUCUCCUUUGAGAUCAAUCAGUGUAAAGGCUACUUGUAUUGUAAGCGUAUGAGAGUUAAGAGUAUUUGUAUCGAUUUACAUGACCAGUGCCCCUUGGUGGUCACACUAAGAUAACGGUGCAAGAUCACCACUGGAACUAGAAUGGACAGUUUAGGCCUCAUGACUUUCUAUGUCUACGUCUAAUCCUCCUGGGAAGGAGCAACAAGUGAGAAAGGCUGAAAAAAAAGGGCUUCAUUUAGCGAAAGUACAUCACUGCAUGAAACAGAAAGGAACAGCAAUACGAGCAGCAAAGCAGAAAAUCAGUCCCCAGAAAUUAACACACCAUACAACUGCACACACAGAAAUGAAAACUGCAGAUUAGACAGAUCGUCUGAAAGAUUUCCAAGGUCAUCUCACAAAAAUAGAGUGACACGGUGCUGUCUGAGACAUCAAACCCACACUGCUGUUCAGGGAAGCUCUGAGGAACUGAUACUGGAGUGAUUCACAAUGUAAGCAGGAUUGCUAAAAGGUUGUUGGAGGGAGAUUAUCUGUGUAAUAGAAUAUCCCAGCUCCUUGAUGACUAGGCUGUGUGAUUAUUAGCCCCAGUCUGGAAGGGAGUAAGUUAUUAUUAAAAUUGAAUAGGAUUAUUUCCAGAAUGUAAGAGAAUGAAAGACGAGAUUCUGAAAUAAAUUCUGGCAUUGAACAGAAACUCUUUUUGUUUUGUUAUUUUCCUAUUUUUAUAGUGGGAUUUUUUACUAAACAAACUUCGCCAGUUGUGUUGAAUGCUGGACAAAACAGUAAAGGCUCCCAAGUAGGAAGGAAGAAGACUGAGACCAGGAUGUGAAUGCCCAGAAAUAGACAGGAAAACAAAAGCACACCCUCUUGUUCCAAUAAUUUAUUCAGAAUCCCAAUAUUCACAAGAAAUUGAUUCUCCUACUUGAACUUCAAAGGGUGAGCAAUUAAAACAGAAAAGAACUGACUCAUCUUCUUUUCAAAAGUCUUCCUCAUAACUACUAAUACAAACCUACUAAAAGACGUGACUUAAAUUAUCUAAGUAAAAAGAGGUGCUGCGUUACAGUGGGACCCUGACAGUGCUGAUCCACUUAAAACGAGGACUUAAACCUUUCAAAUCCCCUAUUCACUGUCAGUAUUGAUAACCUGAGUUGCAAAUUUCAGACUACGUUAUACACUAGUUGCAAUUUUAUUGGCAAGAGACAUGUACGUGUGUCUCAGAAAUUAAAAAAGAAAAGACUUCUCAGCUUCAGUUUCCUUGUGCUUACUGUUCUUAAACAUGCCCAUUUGUAUGUGUGUGUACAGCUCACAAUGCAUGAAACAGGAAAUAUUUUAUACUUGGCUAUGUCUGUUUAUUCUGUGAAGCAAAAGAAUUUAGUGUCUUUCUCUUUAAACAUUGUAGUUUUUCAUCUCUCCUGUCCCCUACCUGCACUGUCCAGCAACAAAGCAUUAAAUUUCCAGGCAAUUAUACUAUUUAGCAUAUUUUUACAAAGUUAAGUUAAAAAGUGGUUCUGAAUUAGAAGUGUGGUUUACAGUCAAACUCUUUUUCCUGAAAGAAUCAUCAAGAUACAGAGAUCUCUUUCCUUUGUGAAAUGUUAUUACUGUCACUUGUACCCAUCCUACUCUUUGCCUGUGUUUACUGCUGCACCAACAAGUGACUCAGCAGACCUGAGUGUCCUGUGCCAACAGAGGGGAUCCCUCGCUGAGGGGCUCAGGCAGAACCCAUUCCCAGCAGCAGGAUACCAGCCCUCAGCUCGAGGUUCUUAGAGCAAGUGCUGCUAUCUCUUGGUUCUGGGGUCAUUUUCUGAGCGUAGACAUUUAUUCUGAGAAUGUGCCUUACUUCUUGAAAGUAUAUUAAAGUAUAUUUACCUUAGAUCUUAAAAUUAUUUUAUGAAGUCAAUUCAUUAGAACGCACCUUUGAAAAAGGUCCAUAUACUUUUAUGUACUGAAAGAUAGUUUCAUAUUUCACAUUAUAUGCCUAAAUACAAGUUUUUAAUUUGAUUACUUUCAUGCAGCUUUUCUGAUGGCUUCAUUAUAUUAACAUGUUUAUACUUGAAGAGAACACUUUUCUGUUAAAUCCUCUUUUCUUCUGUCCUGUCAGUCCUUAAGCUGGUAAAGCAGCAGAAACACCCCACACUGACAAAGAACAGGGAAGUGUCAUAAUGUUUAACAUCAGUAGUUCCUUCUUAAGGAUUCAGCUGACAUCUGCAUGAGGUCAUUCAUGCCACCACAGGUCUCUCCUGCCAGAGAAACAGUGGCCACAACAUUGGUGGCAGCAGGCUGACAAUCUGCAUGGCCUGAUAAAAGGAAUGGAAAGUUGGUAAGCCAUACAGACAGGAAAGAUGGAAAAUAAGGCACUGAGGUACUGUAAUGGAUGAGAGCAGCAUAGAGCUCUUAAA
This is a long non-coding RNA of Corvus hawaiiensis (hawaiian crow), 4037 nucleotides long. RefSeq lists it as uncharacterized. The transcript has 2 exons. The record is from RefSeq and is a predicted model, not a curated record. NCBI's taxonomy places the organism in Eukaryota, Metazoa, Chordata, Aves, Passeriformes, Corvidae.